AUGAAUGCUGGCGGCGUGUCUAAGGCAUGCAAGUCGAGCGAUUCCGACGGGUUCGCAAGAAUCUGUCGGGGUAGCGGCAAACGGGUGCGUAACACAUUGGCGAUCUACCUCGAAGUCGGGCAUAACUCCGCGAAAGCGUAGCUAAUUCCACGAUGGCCAUCACAGCGUAAGGCUGUGAUGUAAAGCGCAAAACGCGCUUCGAGAGGAGCCUAUGGCCUAUCAGCUAGUUGGCGGGGUAACAGCCCACCAAGGCUAUGACGGGUAGGGGAUGUGAGAGCAUGAUCCCCCUCACUGGGACUGAGACACUGCCCAGACACCUACGGGUGGCUGCAGUCGAGAAUAUUCCCCAAUGGACGAAAGUCUGAGGUAGCGACGCCGCGUGCAGGACGAAGGCCUUCGGGUCGUAAACUGCUUUUAUCAGGGAAGAAUUAUGACGGUACCUGAAGAAUAAGAGGUUGCUAACUCUGU
Molecule: ribosomal RNA, 468 nt
Filed under: uncultured bacterium
Lineage: Bacteria
Description: bacterial SSU rRNA
Rfam family: Bacterial small subunit ribosomal RNA
Source: RNAcentral